AGUUGGAUCGCUGGGUCAUAUGGUAAGUGCAUUUUUAACUUUGUAAGAAACUGACAAGUUGUCUUCCAAAGUGAUUGUGUUAUAUUACAUUCACACAAACAAU
RNAcentral lists this microRNA precursor (103 nucleotides) under Marmota monax (woodchuck). Lineage: Eukaryota; Metazoa; Chordata; Mammalia; Rodentia; Sciuridae. The record is from RNAcentral.